AACGAACGCUGGCGGCAUGCCUAACACAUGCAAGUCGAACGAGACCUUCGGGUCUAGUGGCGCACGGGUGCGUAACGCGUGGGAACCUGCCCUUAGGUUCGGAAUACCUCCCCGAAUGGGGUGCUAAUACCGGAUAAUGUCUUCGGACCAAAGAUUUAUCGCCUUGGGAUGGGCCCGCGUUGGAUUAGCUAGUUGGUAGGGUAAAAGCCUACCAAGGCGACGAUCCAUAGCUGGUCUGAGAGGAUGAUCAGCCACACUGGGACUGAGACACGGCCCAGACUCCUAGGGGAGGCAGCAGUGGGGAAUGUUGGACAAUGGGCGAAAGCCUGAUGCAGCAAGGCCGCGUGAGUGAUGAAGGCCUUAGGGUUGUAAAGCUCUUUUACCCGGGAUGAUAAUGACAGUACCGGGAGAAUAAGCUCGGGCUAACUCCGU
RNAcentral lists this ribosomal RNA (432 nucleotides) under uncultured bacterium. RNAcentral's name for it is "partial 16S ribosomal RNA". It matches the Rfam family "Bacterial small subunit ribosomal RNA", at positions 29 to 506 of the family's 1533-position model. The record is from RNAcentral.